Molecule: long non-coding RNA, 369 nt
Filed under: Cricetulus griseus (Chinese hamster)
Lineage: Eukaryota; Metazoa; Chordata; Mammalia; Rodentia; Cricetidae
Description: lncRNA (ENSCGRG00015034962.1)
Source: RNAcentral
GAGAAUCUAGAUGUGCAGGAGAUGCUAGGAGAUGAAGAACAAGUAUGACUUACAGAAAUGGAGAAGAGGAUCACUGUGCUCCAGGAUGUGACCAGCAUAUUGUCACUCCUCAACUCAAACAUACCUCUGCUCCUCCUUUACCAACGCAAGACAUCACCUACACAAACAGUUCCAUCCCCUGGUCAGUAGUGCUUCUACAAGCUCCAGUUUCCUUGCUGCUCAGCCCAGACUCUCUCGGGCAUGAACUCCACCCUAUGGGAACUAUGGUAUUGCUCCAUUUCUUCCUGCCCUUCUCAGCCAGAUGUCUUACAGGAACUGUCUGUGCUUGCUCUCUGCACAGCCUCACACAUGGCCCCAUGUUGCUCUAGC